AUACUCUGGUUUCUCUUCAGAUCAUAUAAAUCUUUUGCCUUUUACUAAAGAUUUCCAUGGGGAAGGAAAGGGGCAGAGGAGAAAAGAG
RNAcentral lists this small nuclear RNA (88 nucleotides) under Pogona vitticeps (central bearded dragon). Its description in RNAcentral is "U5 spliceosomal RNA (ENSPVIG00000024361.1)". It matches the Rfam family "U5 spliceosomal RNA". From Rfam's summary of the family: U5 RNA is a component of both types of known spliceosome. The record is from RNAcentral. Lineage: Eukaryota; Metazoa; Chordata; Lepidosauria; Squamata; Agamidae.